GAGUUUGAUCAUGGCUCAGAUUGAACGCUGGCGGCAUGCCUAACACAUGCAAGUCGAACGGGAGUAGCAAUACUCUAGUGGCGGACGGGUGAGGAAUACAUAGGAAUUUGCCCUUAAGUGGGGGAUAGUCCGGGGAAACUCGGUUUAAUACCGCAUGAUCUCGUGAGAGCAAAGCAGGGGACCGCAAGGCCUUGCGCUUUUGGAGAAGCCUAUGUCGGAUUAGCUAGUUGGUGAGGUAAUGGCUCACCAAGGCGACGAUCCGUAACUGGUCUGAGAGGAUGAUCAGUCACACCGGAACUGAGACACGGUCCGGACUCCUACGGGAGGCAGCAGUGGGGAAUAUUGGACAAUGGGCGAAAGCCUGAUCCAGCAAUGCCGCGUGUGUGAAGAAGGCCUUCGGGUUGUAAAGCACUUUAGGUUGGGAAGAAAAAAUUCGGGCGAAUAUCCCGAGUCUUGACGGUACCGACAGAAUAAGCACCGGCUAACUCUGUGCCAGCAGCCGCGGUAAUACAGAGGGUGCUAGCGUUAAUCGGAUUUACUGGGCGUAAAGCGUGCGUAGGCGGUUUGUUAAGUCGGAUGUGAAAGCCCCGGGCUCAACCUGGGAAUUGCAUUCGAUACUGGCAGACUAGAGAACGGUAGAGGGAGGCGGAACUCCAGGUGUAGCGGUGAAAUGCGUAGAUAUCUG
Molecule: ribosomal RNA, 685 nt
Filed under: uncultured eubacterium WD288
Lineage: Bacteria
Description: bacterial SSU rRNA
Rfam family: Bacterial small subunit ribosomal RNA
Source: RNAcentral